RNA transcript from Amblyraja radiata (thorny skate), 3503 nucleotides. It is a transcript of the gene named nuclear transcription factor Y subunit alpha, with no coding region annotated. NCBI's taxonomy places the organism in Eukaryota, Metazoa, Chordata, Chondrichthyes, Rajiformes, Rajidae. The record is from RefSeq and is a predicted model, not a curated record. The transcript is spliced from 11 exons.
UGGGCAUGCGCAGCGGGCGAGAAGGUUGUUCGCGAAGGAGAAGGUUGUUUGCAGUUGGUCGCCAUUUUGUGCUGCUGCGUUCCUAUUCGCCGCCGGGGCAUUGUGUUUAAUACCGGAGCCAAUCAGAGGGGCAAAAGCGCGGGGUUUUGCUUAAUUCUCCAGAGAAACUGAUUACUUAUUCAAGUUAGCAAUGGAACAGUACACAACAAAUAACAGCAAUUCCACUGAACAGAUUGUGGUUCAGGGACAAAUUCAGCAACAGGGUCAGCCAUUAAUGGUCCAAGUCAGUGGUGGUCAACUAAUUACAUCCACUGGUCAGCCUAUCAUGGUUCAAGCUGUGCCUACAGGUCAAGGGCAAACAAUUAUGCAAGUUCCUGUCUCCGGAGGACAGGGUAUACAACAGAUUCAGCUUGUUCAACCAAGUCAGCUCCAGCUUCAAAGUGGGCAGGCUGUUCAAGUCCAAAACCAACAAGGUCAGGCACAGCAAAUUAUUAUUCAACAGCCUCAGGCAGCUGUUACAGCAGGACAAACACAGAGUCAACAGCAAAUAGUCCAAGGACAACAAGUGGCUCAGACUGCAGAAGGACAGACAAUUGUCUAUCAGCCGGUUAAUGCAGAUGGCACCAUACUCCAACAAGUUGCAGUCCCUGUUACAGGCAUGAUCACCAUACCUGCUGCCAGUCUAGCUGGGGCCCAAAUUGUCCAGACUGGAGCCAGCACAAGCACCACAAAUAGCAACCAGGGCACUGUAACGGUAACACUACCAGUCACUGGAAGUAUGGUCAAUGCAGGCGGUAUGGUAAUGAUGGUACCAGGGGCGAGCACAGUUCCAGCUAUGCAGAGAAUUCCCUUGCCAGGCGCAGAACUACUGGAAGAAGAACCGCUAUAUGUAAAUGCUAAACAGUAUCAUCGAAUCUUGAAAAGAAGACAGGCAAGAGCCAAGUUAGAAGCAGAAGGCAGAAUUCCAAAAGAAAGGAGGAAGUAUCUCCAUGAGUCUCGUCAUCGUCAUGCAAUGCAGCGAAAGCGUGGAGAAGGUGGCCGUUUUUUCUCUCCCAAGGAGGGUGAUGAGAUGGUCAUCUCAGUCAGGCUGUGAAAAAGGCGUUAAGACAGAAAGAAGCCUGAAUGAUUUCUUGGUAGGCUAGAGAAAAAUCAUAAAAAGAAACACCAGCAGCAGAGUGAAGAAAUAAUUGGUCAGGUGAUCAGGGUGGCCUAAAUCUCUGCUUUAUGCAUCUGUUUUGAAACGAGAACCAGUUAAAAUUGACGGUCUCUCCUCACUCCACAAUUCCUGCAUUGACUGCCUGUCCUGCAUUCCUCAAACUGAAAUGGAGGUUUAUAAUGAAAAAGUCUUCUCGGCAAAAAAAAAGUGUAUUUUGCUGCAGAACUUUAAAAGAUGUAAACUUAAAAUGUAUAACAGGGACAAAAAACACCAACAGAAAAAAACCUUGAAUAACUUUGUUUAGACCAAAUGGAGGAAACUAAUUUGAAGACAGUUUUCAGUUGUGAUGGUAUUUAGUGUGUAUUAGUUUGAGACAGAGGGGGGGUGGGAUACCCACUUGAUACUCUGACUUGAAGGAGGUUGGGGGAGUAGUGUCCUGUAAAUUGAUUAAGUUAAUGACGAACUUUGUUGGGGGGGGGGGGGGUACUGGAUUAUGUGUGGAUUUAUGGUAUCCUCUUGUAGAUGUGGAGGGGUGGAAUGAGUUACUGAUGCAUAUGGUAUGUUAUGAAAAUCACAUGAAUUUGUAUUUUUUUUCCAGUGUUUGUUAAUUAAGAGAUAAUGUAUAACUGCUUUUUUUUAAUGAAAAUUUGUUGUAUAUGAUGCAAAUAUUUUGUAAAAUGUAGCAAAAACUGCUCUGAGACAGUAGACCAUUUUGAAAGAUGAUCAAUUUAUUUACAGAAAAGGUGAGUUUGGUGCAAUUCAUUGCUUUAUAUAUGGUUAUAAUGCACUAAAGAGGUUUGUUCUUAAAACAUGUGAUGCUGUGUUUAUAGACUAGUAAAUAAGUGUAAUAUGAGCUAACACUGCAGGGCAGAUUUUCCAGUAUUAAAAUAGGCAAAUUCAACCUGGACACAACUAAACAUUCAGCAGAGGGAAGCUAGAGCACACAUCUAUGGUUCUUAUUGCUGCUUGAUGUCCAACCUUGAACGAGGAUAGCUCAGUGGUGCACUUCAGUUACAUUGCAUGCCAGCUUCCAUUGUCUUGCAACACUGCAAGAGUGAAACUAGCAUGUUUGCAGAAGUAAGCUGUUGCCAACAAGGUUGCAUUCUUGUAGGUCGCCUCUUGAGAGGAAGGAAAACAGGUUCUUUCUUAAUAAAGUUCCACUGUGGCCAUGGUUGUACCAGUUACUGAAGUGGUUCUGUUAUACUAUUUUUGACAUGCAAGUUACAUCCCAUUAUUUAAAUACAUACAAAAUGGUAUACUGUCUCUUCAGAAAGCAGUAUUUGGCUUCUACUUAUGCAAUUCCUUUUUCAAAUAUUGCGUAAUUUUACCAUCUCGGAACUAUAUGCAAGUUCAAAAGAGAAAUCAUUUAAUUCUGAGGCUUUUAUGCCAUGUUAAAAUAUACAACUUUGGGCUUCUAAUGAUUGGAUCCAAGUAACACUGAAGCUGCAUAAUUUUUCAGACUACAAUCAUAUUUGGUUGCUAUAGUCUUAGCAUGGAUCAAAAUACAGCUCAUAAGGAAUCAAGAGCAACCCUCAAGGAUGGCUGUGAAAUUUCAAAAACACUCAGUGAUAUUGAUGCAGCACUUGAUUCUGACCCUUUAUUACACAAAUUGAACUGUUUUCCUGGUAGAGAGGAAGUGUAUGGUGUUAAGAUAGGAUUUAUAAUCUAACCUAGGAAGGAUUUGUCACUCCUGAAGCAGAUAAAUCUUUUAGGCAUGGAUCAGAUUUCAUAUCCAGUUCAUGGCAAGUCUCAGUGAAACGGAUACUCUGGGUAAUUGAUUCAAUUUAUUAUAAACAUUUGCCCACAAAACUAAAGUGGUGAGAAACAACUACCAAAUACAACUAUCACACCUCUCAACAAUGAUCAGAAUGGCAAGGGAAAUAGUAUUUACAAUUUCACAUUGGGUUCUAAAGGUCUUUCAAACCUCCACUUUUAAAUUCUAAGUGCAUGCAGGUGUAAAGUACAUUAGAGGACAAAUUUGGGUUUCUGAUUCUUAAAGCAAUACUUUCCACACAUACAUAAGAAAAGAAAAUCUACCCAGCCAGCUAUUGCCAUUUUACCCUUGCAUCCAUUAACUUUACAGUGACUGGGUAAUACUGAAACUCAGUCUUAAGGGCUUUGUAUAUCAGGUAGAACAUUUAAUUGUUGAAGAUACUAUAAAUGUCAUGCAGGUUAUAAAUAUUUCAACCAAUGCAUUGAAAUGAGUGCAACUUGUUUUUGUAUAUAGGUUACAGAUUUAUAAUUUUUUAUAUACAGCAUUUGGUUUGUUAGCAUGAAUCUCAAUUUAGCUGUAGAGAAAAAGUACUGUGUACAUGGUUCAGCUAAUAAAACCAUAUCAUUUUAGUAA